AAGAUUCUAGUAAAACAGCAUUACAUCACCUUGUCAGGGUGAUAUUGUGGGUUUAACCCCCACGAGUCUUA
Molecule: transfer RNA, 71 nt
Filed under: Urogymnus dalyensis (giant freshwater stingray)
Lineage: Eukaryota; Metazoa; Chordata; Chondrichthyes; Myliobatiformes; Dasyatidae
Description: tRNA-Asp
Rfam family: tRNA
About the family: Transfer RNA (tRNA) molecules are approximately 80 nucleotides in length. Their secondary structure includes four short double-helical elements and three loops (D, anti-codon, and T loops).
Source: RNAcentral